GGGCGAGUGGUGAAAUUGGCAGACACGUACGCUUCAGGUGCGUAUGGCCGCAAGGCCUUGGAGGUUCAAGUCCUCUCUCGCCCA
RNAcentral lists this transfer RNA (84 nucleotides) under Candidatus Yanofskyibacteriota bacterium. RNAcentral's name for it is "Candidatus Yanofskybacteria bacterium tRNA-Leu". It matches the Rfam family "tRNA". From Rfam's summary of the family: Transfer RNA (tRNA) molecules are approximately 80 nucleotides in length. Their secondary structure includes four short double-helical elements and three loops (D, anti-codon, and T loops). Lineage: Bacteria; Candidatus Yanofskyibacteriota. The record is from RNAcentral.